GAAUAUUGGACAAUGGGCGCAAGCCUGAUCCAGCCACGCCGCGUGAGUGAAGAAGGCCCUAAGGUUGUAAAGCUCUUUCACCUGUGAAGAUGAUGACGGUAGCAGGAUAAGAAGCCCCGGCUAACUCCGUGCCAGCAGCCGCGGUAAUACGGAGGGGGCUAGCGUUGCUCGGAAUUACUGGGCGUAAAGGGCGCGCAGGCGGAACACAUAGUCAGACGUGAAAGCCCCGGGCUUAACCUGGGAAUAGCGUUUGAUACUUGUGAUCUGGAGUCUCGGAGAGGGUGGUGGAAUUCCCAGUGUAGAGGUGAAAUUCGUAGAUAUUGGGAAGAACACCAGUGGCGAAGGCGGCCACCUGGACGAGUACUGACGCUGAGGCGCGAAAGCGUGGGGAGCAAACAGG
This 400-nucleotide ribosomal RNA is filed under the name uncultured bacterium. RNAcentral describes it as "bacterial SSU rRNA". It matches the Rfam family "Bacterial small subunit ribosomal RNA", at positions 359 to 776 of the family's 1533-position model. The record is from RNAcentral.